AGCAUAUCAAUAAGCGGAGGAAAAGAAACCAACAGGGAUUGCCUCAGUAACGGCGAGUGAAGCGGCAACAGCUCAAAUUUGAAAUCUGGCGCCUUCGGCGUCCGAGUUGUAAUUUGUAGAGGAUGCUUCGGCGAGGGCUCCCGUCUAAGUCCCUUGGAACAGGGCGUCACAGAGGGUGAGAAUCCCGUAUGUGAUGGGCUGCCCGAGCCGUGUGAAGCUCCUUCGACGAGUCGAGUUGUUUGGGAAUGCAGCUCUAAAUGGGAGGUAAAUUUCUUCUAAAGCUAAAUACCGGCCAGAGACCGAUAGCGCACAAGUAGAGUGAUCGAAAGAUGAAAAGCACUUUGGAAAGAGAGUUAAAAAGUACGUGAAAUUGUUGAAAGGGAAGCGCUUGCAACCAGACUCGCGCGCAGUUGCUCAGCCGGUCUCCUGACCGGUGUACUCUUCUGCGUCCGGGCCAGCAUCAGUUCGGGCGGUCGGAUAAAGGCCUCGGGAAUGUGGCUCCCCUCGGGGAGUGUUAUAGCCCGGGGUGCAAUGCGGCCAGCCCGGACUGAGGAACUCGCUUCGGCUAGGAUGCUGGCGUAAUGGUUGUAAGCGGCCCGUCUUGAAACACGGACCAAGGAGUCUAACAUCUAUGCGAGUGUUUGGGUGUCAAACCCAUGCGCGUAAUGAAAGUGAACGGAGGUGGGAACCCUCGCGGGUGCACCAUCGACCGAUCCUGAUGUCUUCGGAUGGAUUUGAGUAAGAGCAUAGCUGUUGGGACCCGAAAGAUGGUGAACUAUGCCUGAAUAGGGUGAAGCCAGAGGAAACUCUGGUGGAGGCUCGCAGCGGUUCUGACGUGCAAAUCGAUCGUCAAAUUUGGGUAUAGGGGCGAAAGACUAAUCGAACCAUC
This 889-nucleotide ribosomal RNA is filed under the name Kellermania dasylirionis. RNAcentral's name for it is "LSU rRNA". It matches the Rfam family "Eukaryotic large subunit ribosomal RNA", at positions 37 to 944 of the family's 3401-position model. Lineage: Eukaryota; Fungi; Ascomycota; Dothideomycetes; Botryosphaeriales; Planistromellaceae. The record is from RNAcentral.